AUAUCUGAACAGCAGCAGACGGUAAUUAGCCUUCAGGUGGUGAACAUGAUGUAGUCUACAUAGAACUCAAAAUAUAACGAUGUGCAUCUGAAAUUUAUAUAAUGUUAUAAACCAAUGUUACUUCAAUA
This is a non-coding RNA of Ceratotherium simum simum (southern white rhinoceros), 128 nucleotides long. The record is from RefSeq and is a predicted model, not a curated record. NCBI's taxonomy places the organism in Eukaryota, Metazoa, Chordata, Mammalia, Perissodactyla, Rhinocerotidae.